Long non-coding RNA from Anastrepha ludens (Mexican fruit fly), 510 nucleotides. RefSeq lists it as uncharacterized. The transcript has 2 exons. NCBI's taxonomy places the organism in Eukaryota, Metazoa, Arthropoda, Insecta, Diptera, Tephritidae. The record is from RefSeq and is a predicted model, not a curated record.
GUUGCAAAGGCAUGGUGCUGUCAUGGAAAGUGCGUUUGCUAUUAAAAUUGCUACAUGUGAGUUUGACACAUGGCAGUGUUCACGGCAAUUCACAGUUCCGGCACAGGGUUACAUUAAGGAAAGAAAGGAAAAACUAAAUUAUUCAGCAAUAUGAGUAAUUUUGAUGAGAAGUGGAAUGAUGUGGUACGUUGGCAUGAUUUUCUGUAUGAUAAAGACAAGAUGCCUUGGAUGCUGCCUUGAUUACCGGAAAAUAACCAAUGCAGUUACGGCUAUUGAACAGGAACACAUGUAUCGUUGGGCAGUCCAUAUGUAAUUGGUUCGGAAUUGCGGUAUUCAGUGAGGCUACUCAAAUGAAACAGCGAGCGCACCAGCGACGUUCACGUUUAUGCUUUAUUUGUAUUAUUUAGAAAUACAAUAUGCAAGUAGAUUAAAACGUAAAACACAACAAAUCUUCUUCAGUAGACAUUUCAUAAUAAUAAAGACAUUCCGUGAAUAGCUCUUUUUACUUUA